RNAcentral lists this unclassified non-coding RNA (347 nucleotides) under fungal sp. RNAcentral describes it as "partial internal transcribed spacer region". The stretch from base 1 to 46 matches the Rfam family "Eukaryotic small subunit ribosomal RNA", at positions 1786 to 1831 of the family's 1831-position model. The record is from RNAcentral. Lineage: Eukaryota; Fungi.
AAGUCGUAACAAGGUUUCCGUAGGUGAACCUGCGGAAGGAUCAUUAACACUUUUUGUUGAUUGUUGGUUUUUUCUUAUAAAAACCGACAACCAAAUUAUCCUAUCCAAACUGAAGAGCUUGUGAGCAGUGUGCUUUUUUUGUUUCUUGCGAGACAAAAAGCUGGCUCCCAUUUUCUCACCUUUUCCUUUUUCCAAUUUUAAACAAAACCCCAAUCACACAAAUCUAAAUCAUUUGUGAGAUUGCAAACAAUCAAUUUGCUAUCUUGACAAUCUAAAAAACAACUUUUAAGAGAUUUACAUCUCAAAAUGUAACCAAACAACUCUUAACAACGGAUAUCUUGGCUCUC